AAGCGAGCCUGUGAGGGGGAGCAAAUCCCAAAAAUAACGUCCCAGUUCGGAUUGUAGUCUGCAACUCGACUACAUGAAGCUGGAAUCGCUAGUAAUCGCGGAUCAGAAUGCCGCGGUGAAUACGUUCCCGGGUCUUGUACACACCGCCCGUCACACCAUGGGAGUCGGAAAUGCCCGAAGUCUGUGACCCAACCUUAGGGAGGGAGCAGCCGAAGGCAGGUCGGAUGACUGGGGUGAAGUCGUAACAAGGUACC
RNAcentral lists this ribosomal RNA (254 nucleotides) under uncultured bacterium. Its description in RNAcentral is "partial 16S ribosomal RNA". It matches the Rfam family "Bacterial small subunit ribosomal RNA", at positions 1247 to 1500 of the family's 1533-position model. The record is from RNAcentral.